This 186-nucleotide non-coding RNA is filed under the name Stenotrophomonas koreensis. RNAcentral's name for it is "6S / SsrS RNA". It matches the Rfam family "6S / SsrS RNA". From Rfam's summary of the family: E. coli 6S RNA was the first non coding RNA to be sequenced, but its function was unknown until recently. It consists of 184 nucleotides that fold into an extended hairpin structure with a large single-stranded internal bulge. Lineage: Bacteria; Pseudomonadati; Pseudomonadota; Gammaproteobacteria; Lysobacterales; Lysobacteraceae. The record is from Rfam by way of RNAcentral.
CGUUCUCUGCCGUGCCCGACAGCAUGUGCAAACAUAUCGCCUUGUCCCUUAAGAACGACACCGGGGACGCGCCGGCACCGGGUGUGCAUGUCCGCCUCCGAGCGGAAAGCCCGAUGGGGCCUCAGCGUCUCCACUUGAACCUCGGGUUCAGGGUCGUUUCGCAUGCAUCGACACAGCGGAGAACUU